This 730-nucleotide ribosomal RNA is filed under the name uncultured Neisseriales bacterium. RNAcentral describes it as "bacterial SSU rRNA". It matches the Rfam family "Bacterial small subunit ribosomal RNA", at positions 61 to 777 of the family's 1533-position model. The record is from RNAcentral. Lineage: Bacteria; Pseudomonadati; Pseudomonadota; Betaproteobacteria; Neisseriales.
GUCGAACGGCAGCGAGGAGAAGCUUGCUUCUCUGUCGGCGAGUGGCGAACGGGUGAGUAUAGCAUCGGAACGUGCCAAGUAGUGGGGGAUAACCAAACGAAAGUUUGGCUAAUACCGCGUAAGCUCCAAGGAGGAAAGUAGGGGACCUAAAUAAGGCCUUACGCUAUUUGAUCGGCCGAUGUCGGAUUAGCUAGUUGGUGGGGUAAUGGCUCACCAAGGCAAUGAUCCGUAGCGGGUCUGAGAGGACGAUCCGCCACACUGGGACUGAGACACGGCCCAGACUCCUACGGGAGGCAGCAGUGGGGAAUUUUGGACAAUGGGGGAAACCCUGAUCCGGCCAUGCCGCGUGUAUGAAGAAGGCCUUAGGGUUGUAAAGUACUUUUGUUAGGGAAGAAAAGCUAGUUUUUAAUAAAAAUUAGUGGUGACGGUGCCUAAAGAAUAAGCACCGGCUAACUACGUGCCAGCAGCCGCGGUAAUACGUAGGGUGCAAGCGUUAAUCGGAAUUAUUGGGCGUAAAGCGAGUGCAGACGGUUACUUAAGCCAGAUGUGAAAUCCCCAAGCUUAACUUGGGACGUGCAUUUGGAACUGGGUGACUAGAGUGUGUCAGAGGGAGGUAGAAUUCCACAUGUAGCGGUGGAAUGCGUAGAGAUGUGGAGGAAUACCGAUGGCGAAGGCAGCCUCCUGGGAUAACACUGACGUUGAGGCUCGAAAGCGUGGGGAGCAAACAGGA